CAAUAAAUAACGAUACAGGGCCCAUUCGGGUCUUGUAAUUGGAAUGAGUACAAUGUAAAUACCUUAACGAGGAACAAUUGGAGGGCAAGUCUGGUGCCAGCAGCCGCGGUAAUUCCAGCUCCAAUAGCGUAUAUUAAAGUUGUUGCAGUUAAAAAGCUCGUAGUUGAACUUUGGGCCCGGUUGGCCGGUCCGAUUUUUUCGUGUACUGGAUUUCCAACGGGGCCUUUCCUUCUGGCUAACCUUGAGUCCUUGUGGCUCUUGGCGAACCAGGACUUUUACUUUGAAAAAAUUAGAGUGUUCAAAGCAGGCGUAUUGCUCGAAUAUAUUAGCAUGGAAUAAUAGAAUAGGACGUUUGGUUCUAUUUUGUUGGUUUCUAGGACCAUCGUAAUGAUUAAUAGGGACGGUCGGGGGCAUCAGUAUUCAAUUGUCAGAGGUGAAAUUCUUGGAUUUAUUGAAGACUAACUACUGCGAAAGCAUUUGCCAAGGACGUUUUCAUUAAUCAAGAACGAAAGUUAGGGG
This 519-nucleotide ribosomal RNA is filed under the name Streptococcus mitis. RNAcentral describes it as "SSU rRNA". It matches the Rfam family "Eukaryotic small subunit ribosomal RNA", at positions 471 to 996 of the family's 1831-position model. Lineage: Bacteria; Bacillati; Bacillota; Bacilli; Lactobacillales; Streptococcaceae. The record is from RNAcentral.